Molecule: non-coding RNA, 166 nt
Filed under: Prochlorococcus marinus subsp. pastoris str. CCMP1986
Lineage: Bacteria; Bacillati; Cyanobacteriota; Cyanophyceae; Synechococcales; Prochlorococcaceae
Source: RNAcentral
GUCUGCUCCAUUCUUUAUGCUUCGCAUCUAAGUCUGAUACUUUAUCUCCUAAACUUAAUUGCUUUUCUAAUAAUUGCACUUUAGUAAGUGUUACUUCUUCAGAAUAAAACUUGAUUGGUUGCUUACCGUGAAGGUUGUCUCCGCUCAUAACUACAAAAAUAGGAUC